Molecule: ribosomal RNA, 394 nt
Filed under: uncultured bacterium
Lineage: Bacteria
Description: bacterial SSU rRNA
Rfam family: Bacterial small subunit ribosomal RNA
Source: RNAcentral
GAUGAACGCUGGCGGCGUGCCUAAUACAUGCAAGUCGAACGCAUUGUGGUUGAAAUGAUAUGAAGAACUUGUUCAGAUUUGAUUUUCAACAUUGCAAUGAGUGGCGAACGGGUGAGUAACACGUGGGAAACCUACCUCUUAGCAGGGGAUAACAUUUGGAAACAAAUGCUAAUACCGUAUAAUAAUUAAAACCGCAUGGUUUUAGUUUGAAAGAUGGUCUUGCUAUCACUAAGAGAUGGUCCCGCGGUGUAUUAGUUAGUUGGUGAGGUAAUGGCUCACCAAAGACAAUGAUACAUAGCCGAGUUGAGAGACUGACCGGCCACAAUGGGACUGAGACGCGGCCCAUACUCCUACGGAGGCAGCAGUAGGGAAUCUUCCACAACUGGACGAAAGU